RNAcentral lists this ribosomal RNA (253 nucleotides) under uncultured bacterium. Its description in RNAcentral is "partial 16S ribosomal RNA". It matches the Rfam family "Bacterial small subunit ribosomal RNA", at positions 524 to 776 of the family's 1533-position model. The record is from RNAcentral.
UACGGGGGGGGCAAGCGUUGUUCGGAAUUACUGGGCGUAAAGGGCUCGUAGGUGGCCAACUAAGUCAGACGUGAAAUCCCUCAGCUUAACUGGGGAACUGCGUCUGAUACUGGAUGGCUUGAGUUUGGGAGAGGGGUGCGGAAUUCCAGGUGUAGCGGUGAAAUGCGUAGAUAUCUGGAGGAACACCGGUGGCGAAGGCGGCAUCCUGGACCAACACUGACACUGAGGAGCGAAAGCCAGGGGAGCAAACGGG